RNAcentral lists this microRNA precursor (124 nucleotides) under Hordeum vulgare. RNAcentral's name for it is "microRNA MIR1122". It matches the Rfam family "MIR1120/MIR1122 microRNA precursor family". Lineage: Eukaryota; Viridiplantae; Streptophyta; Magnoliopsida; Poales; Poaceae. The record is from RNAcentral.
UACUUCCUCCUUCCGUUCGAAAAUACUUGUCGAAGAAAGGACGUAUCUAGAUGUAUUUUAAUUAUAGAUACAUCUAUUCUUAUUCAUUUUUGCAACAAGUAAUUCGGGACGGAGGGAAAAGGAG